UUUCUUCCUUAGUAAUAGAAUCCACUAUUUUUUGUAGAGCAUUUAACCACCCAGAAUAAAGAUGACACAUCCCAGUCUCUCUUGCAGCUAGGUGUGAUCAGGUGACUAAGUGCUGGCCAACAGUAUAUACUUGGAAGUCUUUCUUCUCCUCUUCUCCCUUCUUGCUGGCUGGAAUGUGUAUGUGAUGAGUGAAGUUUGAACAUCCAUAUUGCACUACAAGAUGAAGACCGCAUGCUAAAAAUGGUGGAGCAGCAAGACGGAAGUCUCCUGUAUCCCUGAUGAUUUUGUGAAGCCACCACUCCACCCUUGCACUGCCUAGCUCUGGAUUUAUUUUAUACAGUGCUACUCCAGUGUGGUGGUCCUCACAGUGUGGUCCUG
This 378-nucleotide long non-coding RNA is filed under the name Homo sapiens (human). RNAcentral describes it as "non-protein coding lnc-DNAH8-2:1". Lineage: Eukaryota; Metazoa; Chordata; Mammalia; Primates; Hominidae. The record is from RNAcentral.